Molecule: ribosomal RNA, 480 nt
Filed under: uncultured bacterium
Lineage: Bacteria
Description: bacterial SSU rRNA
Rfam family: Bacterial small subunit ribosomal RNA
Source: RNAcentral
UGAACGCUGGCGGCAUGCCUAACACAUGCAAGUCGAACGCGAAAACGCCUUCGGGCGUGAGUAGAGUGGCGGACGGGUGAGUAACGCGUGGGAAUCUACCUUGUAGUGGGGGACAACCCGGGGAAACCCGGGCUAAUACCGCAUACGACCUACGGGAGAAAGAGGGCCUCUGCAUGCAAGCUCUCGCUAUGAGAUGAGCCCACGUCCGAUUAGCUAGUUGGUAGGGUAAAAGCCUACCAAGGCGACGAUCGGUAGCUGGUCUGAGAGGAUGGCCAGCCACACUGGGACUGAGACACGGCCCAGACUCCUACGGGAGGCAGCAGUGGGGAAUAUUGGACAAUGGGCGCAAGCCUGAUCCAGCAAUGCCGCGUGUGUGAAGAAGGCCUGCGGGUUGUAAAGCACUUUCAGUGGGGAAGAAAAGCCUGGGGUGAAUACCCUCGGGUCUUGACGUUACCCACAGAAGAAGCACCGGCUAACUCC